Molecule: long non-coding RNA, 147 nt
Organism: Octopus sinensis (East Asian common octopus)
Lineage: Eukaryota; Metazoa; Mollusca; Cephalopoda; Octopoda; Octopodidae
Exons: 4
Source: RefSeq, a predicted model, not a curated record
UUUCACUUUCACUUUAAUUCAAUAUGAUUAAAUCUUUGAAAGUGUAAAUUUAUAGAUCUUCAUGGUAUUGUUUCAUUAUGUUAAACAUUUUGAUUGUGUCAGCAAUUUUAACAUAAAAAUGCAGAAUAAUAUCCACCUUCUCCUUCC